AUGCUUGGUUCAGCAGCACAUAUACUAAAAUUAGAACAUAAAAGUGAUUAGCAUGGCCCCUGUGCAAGGAUGACAUGCAAAUUCCUGAAAUACUUCAAAAUUUU
Small nuclear RNA from Arvicola amphibius (Eurasian water vole), 104 nucleotides. Lineage: Eukaryota; Metazoa; Chordata; Mammalia; Rodentia; Cricetidae. The record is from RefSeq and is a predicted model, not a curated record.